GCGGGUGUGGUUCAAUGGUAGAACAUCAGCUUCCCAAGCUGAGGACGGGGGUUCGAUUCCCCUCACCCGCU
Molecule: transfer RNA, 71 nt
Filed under: Acidimicrobiaceae bacterium
Lineage: Bacteria; Bacillati; Actinomycetota; Acidimicrobiia; Acidimicrobiales; Acidimicrobiaceae
Also listed under: 1 other name
Description: tRNA-Gly
Rfam family: tRNA
About the family: Transfer RNA (tRNA) molecules are approximately 80 nucleotides in length. Their secondary structure includes four short double-helical elements and three loops (D, anti-codon, and T loops).
Source: RNAcentral